RNAcentral lists this small nucleolar RNA (90 nucleotides) under Phaseolus vulgaris (common bean). RNAcentral describes it as "snoRNA snoR31". It matches the Rfam family "Small nucleolar RNA snoR31". The record is from Rfam by way of RNAcentral. Lineage: Eukaryota; Viridiplantae; Streptophyta; Magnoliopsida; Fabales; Fabaceae.
CAGAUUGGGAUGAAGCUAAAUAUAUAAUCCAACACUUGAUCUGAGUUAUUACUAGUGAUGGUAAAAAUGAUUCUAUGCUUCUGAAUCUCG